AUCCGGUGGUUCUGAAUGGAAGGGCCAUCGCUCAACGGAUAAAAGGUACUCCGGGGAUAACAGGCUGAUACCGCCCAAGAGUUCAUAUCGACGGCGGUGUUUGGCACCUCGAUGUCGGCUCAUCACAUCCUGGGGCUGAAGUAGGUCCCAAGGGUAUGGCUGUUCGCCAUUUAAAGUGGUACGCGAGCUGGGUUUAGAACGUCGUGAGACAGUUCGGUCCCUAUCUGCCGUGGGCGCUGGAAGACUGAGGGGGGCUGCUCCUAGUACGAGAGGACCGGAGUGGACGCAUCACUGGUGUUCGGGUUGUCAUGCCAAUGGCACUGCCCGGUAGCUAAAUGCGGAAGAGAUAAGUGCUGAAAGCAUCUAAGCACGAAACUUGCCCCGAGAUGAGUCUUCCCUGAGACUUUAAGUCUCCUGAAGGAACGUUAAAGACGAUGACGUUGAUAGGCCGGGGGUGUAAGCGCAGCGAUGCGUUGAGCUAACCGGUACUAAUGAACCGUGAGGCUUAACCUU
This 513-nucleotide ribosomal RNA is filed under the name Salmonella enterica subsp. salamae serovar 58:l,z13,z28:z6. RNAcentral's name for it is "partial 23S ribosomal RNA". It matches the Rfam family "Bacterial large subunit ribosomal RNA", at positions 2418 to 2925 of the family's 2925-position model. The record is from RNAcentral. Lineage: Bacteria; Pseudomonadati; Pseudomonadota; Gammaproteobacteria; Enterobacterales; Enterobacteriaceae.